GAUGAACGCUGGCGGCGUGCUUAACACAUGCAAGUCGAACGGAGAAAGGGUAGCUUGCUAUCUUUUCUUAGUGGCGGACGGGUGAGUAACGCGUGGGUAACCUGCCCUUUGCAGGGGGAUAACAGUGAGAAAUCACUGCUAAUACCGCAUACCAACUUCUUUCGCAUGAAGGAAGUUUGAAAGAUUUAUCGGCAAAGGAUGGACCCGCGUUGGAUUAGCUAGUUGGUGGGGUAACGGCCUACCAAGGCAACGAUCAGUAGCCGGCCUCCGAGAGGGUGAACGGCCACAUUGGGACUGAGACACGGCCCAGACUCCUACGGGAGGCAGCAGUGGGGAAUAUUGCACAAUGGGCGAAAAGCCUGAUGCAGCGACGCCGCGUGAGUGAAGAAGUAUUUCGGUAUGUAAAAGCUCUAUCAGCAAAGGAAGAUAAAUGACGGUACUUGACUAAGAAAGCCCCGGCUAACUACGUGCCAGCAGCCGCGGUAAUAAGUCACGUCG
Molecule: ribosomal RNA, 498 nt
Filed under: uncultured bacterium
Lineage: Bacteria
Description: bacterial SSU rRNA
Rfam family: Bacterial small subunit ribosomal RNA
Source: RNAcentral